Musa acuminata subsp. malaccensis (wild Malaysian banana) is the source of this 1039-nucleotide non-coding RNA. Lineage: Eukaryota; Viridiplantae; Streptophyta; Magnoliopsida; Zingiberales; Musaceae. The record is from RefSeq and is a predicted model, not a curated record.
UUCACAUUGUGCUUCCUUUUUUGCAUGUUUUUUAUGGCCACUAUUCGCAAUAAAUUUGAUUGUCACCACUGUGACACUUUGUUAGUUUGCUAUCCUGAACUUCUCUUAUUUAUGAAGCUUCCAUUUGAUUUCCAAGGUGUCAUGGACAUGUUCAUGUUUCUCUUUCUUCUGCUGUUGUAAGGGGACCAUAAUCUCUACAUACAGCAUGCAUGUGCAGUUGGACUUACUUUUCGCUGCACUAUACAAAUACAUAAACUAAAUGAUAAAUGUACUGUUGUCUGUCAACUUACUUUGGUUCUAGUGUUUAACAGUGGCCCCUCACAUGCUUUUCUAGGUUCAUUUCACCACCAACACGCGUAUUGCUUUCACAACUGUGCACAGAUAAGAAGGAUUGUUGAUAAUGUUAGUUAGGUGAUCAUAUUCACCAAUCGAGGACCUGUUGGCUUAACAGUAUCAAGUCUCCAAAUGUAUGUGUGCCAAGUGCCAAAAUGUGGAAGUUUAUAGCUGAAAACUCUGCAAAGUGUUUGCUUCUAGCAGGCUUUUACUUUCCAGUAUUUGGUUGUCAUGAUCUUGGAUUAUCCAUCUGAGGUAACAGUUUUCAGCUUCUUUUUAUGAGAAGCCAGGCCACCUUUUGUGGGUUUCUUACAAUCUGCUAACUUGACUCUAGGACAUCUGAUUAACUAUGGGAAUUUAAGAAUUGUUAUGGCACCUGCAACUCAAAGACUCACAUGCUACAGAAAUUUUUACUGUGAACUCUUCAUGUUAGCUGCUGGUAAUCACUAAUUCUUUUGGAUGCUAUUAAAAUAUGCAAUUGUCUUUCCAUCAUAAAUAGUCUACAUCAAAUUUUCUUUGCACCACACCCUGCAGUGGAAAGGCCAACAAAAUGUAGUAGUCUGUGAUUGUGGUUCAUCAUCUCAAGAAGUGUUGGAUGAUCCCUCUUAAUGGUGCUUUGUGUUUGGAUACAGUCACUAAAAGUUUCUUCUUUCCCUUUUAGACAGAUUCAACUGUUUACUGAAUAUAUUCUUUAAAGAUUAAUUUC